UACGUAGGGUGCGAGCGUUAAUCGGAAUUACUGGGCGUAAAGCGUGCGCAGGCGGCGCGUUAAGACAGGUGUGAAAGCCCCGAGCUUAACUUGGGAAUUGCGCUUGUGACUGGCGUGCUGGAGUGUGGCAGAGGGAGGUGGAAUUCCACGUGUAGCAGUGAAAUGCGUAGAGAUGUGGAGGAACACCGAUGGCGAAGGCAGCCUCCUGGGCUAACACUGACGCUCAUGCACGAAAGCGUGGGGAGCAAACAGG
This 253-nucleotide ribosomal RNA is filed under the name uncultured bacterium. RNAcentral describes it as "partial 16S ribosomal RNA". It matches the Rfam family "Bacterial small subunit ribosomal RNA", at positions 524 to 776 of the family's 1533-position model. The record is from RNAcentral.